UACGUAGGGUGCGAGCGAUAAUCGGAAUUACUGGGCGUAAAGCGUGCGCAGGCGGUGAUGUAAGACAGGUGUGAAAUCCCCGGGCUUAACCUGGGAACUGCAUUUGUGACUGCAUCGCUGGAGUGCGGCAGAGGGGGAUGGAAUUCCGCGUGUAGCAGUGAAAUGCGUAGAUAUGCGGAGGAACACCGAUGGCGAAGGCAAUCCCCUGGGCCUGCACUGACGCUCAUGCACGAAAGCGUGGGGAGCAAACAGG
RNAcentral lists this ribosomal RNA (253 nucleotides) under uncultured bacterium. RNAcentral's name for it is "partial 16S ribosomal RNA". It matches the Rfam family "Bacterial small subunit ribosomal RNA", at positions 524 to 776 of the family's 1533-position model. The record is from RNAcentral.